This 253-nucleotide ribosomal RNA is filed under the name uncultured bacterium. Its description in RNAcentral is "partial 16S ribosomal RNA". It matches the Rfam family "Bacterial small subunit ribosomal RNA", at positions 524 to 776 of the family's 1533-position model. The record is from RNAcentral.
UACGUAGGGUGCGAGCGUUGCCCGGAUUUAUUGGGCGUAAAGGGCGCGUAGGCGGUCACGCACGUCCGUUGUGAAAUCGCUCGGCUCAACUGGGCGGGGUCAGCGGAUACGGCGUGGCUGGAGCAAGCUAGGGGGUAAUGGAAUUCCCGGUGUAGUGGUGGAAUGCGUAGAUAUCGGGAGGAACACCAGUGGCGAAGGCGGUUACCUGGAGCUUUGCUGACGCUGAUGCGCGAAAGCGUGGGGAGCGAGCCGG